UUAAUUGAAACCAAAUUAGAGGUAUAUCACUGUUAAUGAUACUAUUGAAUUGAAUAUUCCAAUUAAA
RNAcentral lists this transfer RNA (67 nucleotides) under Gonepteryx rhamni (common brimstone butterfly). RNAcentral's name for it is "tRNA-Asn". The record is from RNAcentral. RNAcentral also lists the same sequence under 1 other name. Lineage: Eukaryota; Metazoa; Arthropoda; Insecta; Lepidoptera; Pieridae.